Molecule: non-coding RNA, 1490 nt
Organism: Peromyscus maniculatus bairdii (prairie deer mouse)
Lineage: Eukaryota; Metazoa; Chordata; Mammalia; Rodentia; Cricetidae
Source: RefSeq, a predicted model, not a curated record
UUGACUCCCCACCUUUUCCCCUGGCCUCACAACUCCAUGUAAACAUGUCACUGAGCCCCAGUGGCCCCAGUGGAGCUGCCUACUGGGUGAAACAGGAGUCUGGACCUUGUGAGGCUGUUCGCUCUCAGAGGGAUUUACUGGAAGAAAACCACAGCUGGAAAUGGAAGAGCUGGGUCUCCUUCCUGUUCCCUAGCAGGCCCUGAGGACCCUCCCCGCCCCCCAUUCCCUCCAGGCCAGCCUGCUUGGUCUAGGCACAUGCGUGUCUUGUCAGCAUAAGAACUUUGAAAGUGCUCUAGCAAUGAAUGGAGCUGCCUGGGAAGGACGUGGUUCAUGGCCUUGGACAGCGAUCGAGAUGACUGUGUGUGCUGAGGGACUGGAUGGAGCGUUGGAAUCCUCAGCCUGAGUCUGUGGUCCUUUCACCAAGACUGGGACCUGUAAGAAGGCAGAGCCCUGAAAGGAAGACACGGUCCCCCUCCCUCCUCUACCACACGAAGCCUCCUGCAAUGGACAGCAUGGACCAGCCAGUCAGUAAAUGCCGGUGGAAGGGCAGAGCGGGUUCCCUUUGGCUCCAUCAUGGUGCUCUCUGGGGUCAGGUCAUGCUCUGGACCAUCCUGACAGUAGCUCUGGAGAGAGAGGUUCUGUUAUGGAGUACUUGGACGCAGUAGCCCGCCCUGUGUGGAGAUUAGCGUCACAUCUGGAUUUGGUGGAGGAGCUGGCUUGUCAUUGCUGACUAGGGAGAGUGAAGGGUUCUGUGGAGGCUGCUGCCUGGAGGGCUGUUUCCCAACAGCCAAAGGCUGAUCAAUUGGGAAGCACCACACGGACAUCAAAGACAACCCCAUGCAAACUGCGAGAGUCACGAGAGUCAGGGAAAAGCUGCACAGUGGCUGGGAGGGAGAACGGCGCUCCACCUCCGCAGCUGCAAGCCAAGAGUCCCGGCGAGCACCAAGCACCACACACUGAACUGUGGGCCAGCACUGCAUGCCUUAUGGUGGCACUUGCCCACUGUGACACCCUCCAGAGUCAUGGGGUCCUUGAUAAACUCUAGACUCUGCUCAGGAGGACUUGGGUGGUCCCCGAAACCAUCUUUUAAGUGAGAUGAAGAAGCCAUUAGCCAGAAGUGAGGCUCUGGGGGGUUGCCUGAAGUCCUCGCUGUAGCCAGUGGCCAUUCUCUCUGAUGCACAGCUCGCUCUCAGGAACUCUGGGCUGCGAACAUUGACCUUGUGUUAGCCUGUCCUGAUGGAGCUGAAGUGGAGACAGUCACUGCCCCCACGGCUACGGAAAGAGUCAACGCCAAGUGUCCAUCACUCGAGCUCUUACCGCUAAUAGCUCAGCGGAAACCAGAAAGCACUUUACGGUGGCCUCACGCUGCAGCUAUUUUCUUGGUUCCAGCAUAACCUUUGCCCGAGAGCGUCACAGGCCUGAAGUGUUUGCUGUCACCUGGGAAGGGAGGCUACCGGGUGCCACUGAAGACGGAAUGUCUCCUUGUGUGG